This 1547-nucleotide ribosomal RNA is filed under the name Salmonella enterica subsp. enterica serovar Typhimurium. RNAcentral's name for it is "bacterial SSU rRNA". It matches the Rfam family "Bacterial small subunit ribosomal RNA". The record is from RNAcentral. Lineage: Bacteria; Pseudomonadati; Pseudomonadota; Gammaproteobacteria; Enterobacterales; Enterobacteriaceae.
GGAGAGUUUGAUCAUGGCUCAGAUUGAACGCUGGCGGCAGGCCUAACACAUGCAAGUCGAACGGUAACAGGAAGCAGCUUGCUGCUUCGCUGACGAGUGGCGGACGGGUGAGUAAUGUCUGGGAAACUGCCUGAUGGAGGGGGAUAACUACUGGAAACGGUGGCUAAUACCGCAUAACGUCGCAAGACCAAAGAGGGGGACCUUCGGGCCUCUUGCCAUCAGAUGUGCCCAGAUGGGAUUAGCUUGUUGGUGAGGUAACGGCUCACCAAGGCGACGAUCCCUAGCUGGUCUGAGAGGAUGACCAGCCACACUGGAACUGAGACACGGUCCAGACUCCUACGGGAGGCAGCAGUGGGGAAUAUUGCACAAUGGGCGCAAGCCUGAUGCAGCCAUGCCGCGUGUAUGAAGAAGGCCUUCGGGUUGUAAAGUACUUUCAGCGGGGAGGAAGGUGUUGUGGUUAAUAACCGCAGCAAUUGACGUUACCCGCAGAAGAAGCACCGGCUAACUCCGUGCCAGCAGCCGCGGUAAUACGGAGGGUGCAAGCGUUAAUCGGAAUUACUGGGCGUAAAGCGCACGCAGGCGGUCUGUCAAGUCGGAUGUGAAAUCCCCGGGCUCAACCUGGGAACUGCAUUCGAAACUGGCAGGCUUGAGUCUUGUAGAGGGGGGUAGAAUUCCAGGUGUAGCGGUGAAAUGCGUAGAGAUCUGGAGGAAUACCGGUGGCGAAGGCGGCCCCCUGGACAAAGACUGACGCUCAGGUGCGAAAGCGUGGGGAGCAAACAGGAUUAGAUACCCUGGUAGUCCACGCCGUAAACGAUGUCUACUUGGAGGUUGUGCCCUUGAGGCGUGGCUUCCGGAGCUAACGCGUUAAGUAGACCGCCUGGGGAGUACGGCCGCAAGGUUAAAACUCAAAUGAAUUGACGGGGGCCCGCACAAGCGGUGGAGCAUGUGGUUUAAUUCGAUGCAACGCGAAGAACCUUACCUGGUCUUGACAUCCACAGAAGAAUCCAGAGAUGGAUUGGUGCCUUCGGGAACUGUGAGACAGGUGCUGCAUGGCUGUCGUCAGCUCGUGUUGUGAAAUGUUGGGUUAAGUCCCGCAACGAGCGCAACCCUUAUCCUUUGUUGCCAGCGAUUAGGUCGGGAACUCAAAGGAGACUGCCAGUGAUAAACUGGAGGAAGGUGGGGAUGACGUCAAGUCAUCAUGGCCCUUACGACCAGGGCUACACACGUGCUACAAUGGCGCAUACAAAGAGAAGCGACCUCGCGAGAGCAAGCGGACCUCAUAAAGUGCGUCGUAGUCCGGAUUGGAGUCUGCAACUCGACUCCAUGAAGUCGGAAUCGCUAGUAAUCGUGGAUCAGAAUGCCACGGUGAAUACGUUCCCGGGCCUUGUACACACCGCCCGUCACACCAUGGGAGUGGGUUGCAAAAGAAGUAGGUAGCUUAACCUUCGGGAGGGCGCUUACCACUUUGUGAUUCAUGACUGGGGUGAAGUCGUAACAAGGUAACCGUAGGGGAACCUGCGGUUGGAUCACCUCCUUACCUUAAAGAA